Molecule: ribosomal RNA, 315 nt
Filed under: uncultured archaeon
Lineage: Archaea
Description: bacterial SSU rRNA
Rfam family: Archaeal small subunit ribosomal RNA
Source: RNAcentral
UUUAGUCAGGCAACGAGCGAGACCCACGCCCACAGUUGCCAGCGUACUCUCUGGAGUGACGGGUACACUGUGGGGACCGCCGCUGCUAAAGCGGAGGAAGGAAUGGGCAACGGUAGGUCAGUAUGCCCCGAAUAUCCCGGGCUACACGCGAGCUACAAUGGUUGGUACAAUGGGUAUCUACCCCGAAAGGGGACGGGAAUCUCCUAAAACCAAUCUUAGUUCGGAUUGAGGGCUGCAACUCGCCCUCAUGAAGCUGGAAUCCGUAGUAAUCGCGUUUCAACAGAACGCGGUGAAUACGUCCCUGCUCCUUGCAAA